GACGAACGCUGGCGGCGUGCUUAACACAUGCAAGUCGAACGGAAAGGCCCUGCUUUUGUGGGGUGCUCGAGUGGCGAACGAGUGAGUCACACGUGAGUAACCUGCCCUUCACUUUGGGAUAUCUUCAGGUAACUGGGGCUCCUACCGGAUAGGAGCUCCUGCUGCAUGGUGGGGGUUGGAUAUUUUCGUUGGUUGGGGAUGGACUCGCGGCUUAUCAGCUUGUUGGUUGGGUAGUUGCUGACCAAGGCUUGGAUGGGUAGCCAGCCGGUGAGGGUGACCGGCCACAUGGGGACGGAGAGACGGACCAGACUGAUACGGGAGGCAGGAGGGGGGAAGAUAGCACAAUGGGCGGAAGGCAGAUUCAGCAACGCCGCGUGCGGGAUGACGGCCGUCGGGUGGUAAACCGCUUUCGCCUGAGACGAAGCGAGAGUGACGGUAAUGGGUAAAGAAGCACCGGCUAACUACGUG
RNAcentral lists this ribosomal RNA (468 nucleotides) under uncultured bacterium. RNAcentral describes it as "partial 16S ribosomal RNA". It matches the Rfam family "Bacterial small subunit ribosomal RNA", at positions 28 to 507 of the family's 1533-position model. The record is from RNAcentral.